UAAACUAUAACUAGCAAGGAAUGAGAAACUGAUUACAUCUGCUUAUUUGGACAGUGAAUGGAACCACAUAUUCUGCCUGUUGGCAAACACCAAAUCUGUAUAGUUUAUUUUCUUCAAAGGGAAUCAUGAUUGCCAACAAUCACUCAGCACCAACAAUUUACUGAAUGUUUAUCUGCCUGCAUUCUUCUUGUGGCUGGAAAUGUAGCAGUGAACCAGACCGAGACCCUGAUCCGCUGGGUAUAUAGCUGGGGGAGUCAGACAUUCAUGAAAAUGACUUCUAGUGCCACAGAUAUUUCAAAAGAUGCAGUAAAGAGUUCUGUGGGUCUGAAUGAUAUGGUGUGCUAACCAAAUAUGUGAAGGUGGCGAAGGUCUCCUAGAAGAAUUGGUGCAAAACUUGAGUCUCAAAGGAUGAGCUGGGUGAGGAGUUGGGCACAGUAUUCUGGGCAGUGGGAACAUCAUGGACAGAAGCCUGAAUGCAGCGGAGAGACUGACUCACUUGUGGGCAUGAAGGAGAUCAGCAUGACUGGAUUGGAGCUCACUUCCUGGUGUUUUCACCUCAUUGCAUGCCUGGUUGGUUUCUGUUGCUUGCAAUGAAAGAACCCUUACAAAUGCAAUAAUGCAGAAGUAACAAUGAAGAUGACACUGAUUCACACAAGAUUUAAUUUGUUACAUGAGUAAAUAAACAAAGCAAAAUGAACAGAAUUUACUAUACUGCAUCCCUGCUGGGAGUAUGUUGAGCUAUCUGGCCUGGAAGGCCUUUGUGACCUGUUGAAAGAAUAUACAUGGAUUUACUUCAGGAGAAAAAUAAAGUGUUAUUUUAAAAAU
RNAcentral lists this long non-coding RNA (825 nucleotides) under Homo sapiens (human). RNAcentral's name for it is "HSALNT0046868". Lineage: Eukaryota; Metazoa; Chordata; Mammalia; Primates; Hominidae. The record is from RNAcentral.